This 465-nucleotide ribosomal RNA is filed under the name uncultured bacterium. Its description in RNAcentral is "partial 16S ribosomal RNA". It matches the Rfam family "Bacterial small subunit ribosomal RNA", at positions 338 to 795 of the family's 1533-position model. The record is from RNAcentral.
CCUACGGGAGGCAGCAGUGGGGAAUAUUGCGCAAUGGGCGAAAGCCUGACGCAGCGACGCCGCGUGAGGGAUGAAGGUCUUCGGAUCGUAAACCUCUGUCAGCAGGGAAGAACGGUCACUGUGCUAAUCAGCAGUGAAUUGACGGUACCUGCAAAGGACGCACCGGCUAACUCCGUGCCAGCAGCCGCGGUAAUACGGAGGGUGCGAGCGUUAAUCGGAAUUACUGGGCGUAAAGCGCUCGUAGGCGGUAUGUCAAGUCAAGGGUGAAAUCCCCGCGCUCAACGUGGGAACUGCCUUUGAAACUGGCAAACUGGAGUGUGUGAGAGGAUAGUGGAAGUCCAGGUGUAGGAGUGAAAUGCGUAGAUAUCUGGAGGAACAUCAGUGGCGAAGGCGACUAUCUGGCACAUAACUGACGCUGAGGAGCGAAAGCGUGGGUAGCAAACAGGAUUAGAUACCCUAGUAGUC